This 4812-nucleotide long non-coding RNA is filed under the name Brassica napus (rape). RNAcentral's name for it is "long non-coding RNA (BNAP_LNC005195)". The record is from RNAcentral. Lineage: Eukaryota; Viridiplantae; Streptophyta; Magnoliopsida; Brassicales; Brassicaceae.
CUUUCUGGUUCUGAACACAAGAAAGUUAUCUAAUUUAUGGAUCAAAGGUGUCCUUUUUGUUAUCUUGUGAUUGUAAAGACUACAAGAUGAUCAUUUUUUUUUACUUAUUGGUAGUGGGCCAGAUAAAAAGAGCAAAUGGAUGACGUGUUAGAGCUACACCAGUGUCGAAGAUCUGAAAAAAAGUUUCCAUGGCCACCGCUUCUGUCGUAUAUGACUCAGUGAACCUCUCCACUUAUCUGUUACACUUGGUAAACCUUCCACCCUAUUGAUUCAUCUGCUUGAAGAUGUUUCAUCAUCGUUGCUCACUGAAAGCAGCAGCAACAACUACCUUGAUUUGAUAAAGUGACAUAGCGGUUUGUGGAGGAAGCACUACAAGAGCACGGAGGAGAGAAGAGGAUAUUUCCAAACGCAAGAAGGUGAUUCUGAAAAAAAAAGAGAAAGUCUGUUCUUCAGUUGUCUACGAGAUGAUUUUUGCUUUUAGCUGCAAGCAAAUAAUGAAAGUAUGAUUCUGUACUCAGAAGUCAAAAGGCUGGACUUAUCCACUCUUCUUACAAUUUAAACUGCAUCUGAAUAAGAUUUGUUGUUUUAGCUACAUCUUACAUCUCUGAAUAACUCUUCUAAAACUGUACGAUAUUUUUGUUUUAAAAGCCUUUCCAACCUUCUUGGUUGUGAAAUGUUUUAGAUCAUUUGGAGGAGUAAUAAAGUUUAUAUGUUAUCACAAAUCACAUAUAUAGAUUGAAUCAAAGCAACACAGGCAGAGAUAAACAUUGGCAUGCCAACGUAUGCACCACAAAAAGAACUAUUAAGUUAUCAUCAUAUCAAAAUCUAGGUGGCAUUAAGCACAGCCUAACAAAAAAAAAAUUUAAAAUACAGUGUAUUAGUGUUAUCGGCUAAAAAAAACUAUAAACAAAAACCGAGGUUGCGCAUUAAGAUAGUUAUCGUAAUUAAAUCCGGACACCCCUGUGAGCGAGAGUUUCAAAGUUAUCAAACUGUCAACCUCUAGGAUAUUAACUACUCCGUGCGCAGGGUGAAUUAAUUUGAUAAAUAUUUAAAAAUAUAGUAUUAAAAAAUUUAUUUUUAACAUUUGAUUAACUUUUUUACACAUAUAUAAUUAUAUUUUUUGUUGUUAUAAUAUAAGUUCUGCCGGAUGGAACGAAUCCAUAAUUAUUAUAAAUUGUGGACCUAAACAAUAAGUAUUAUAUCAUGGACCGAUCAGUUUGGGCCUAAAAACUUAUGACACAAAAACCUUAUACUUUUUUCCAUCAAACAUAUUCUUCUUCUUAUCAAAUUUAAUCUCAAAACUGAAUUAGGUUAAUAGAUGCAAUAGACACUUGCGCUUCAAUUUAUGUAAGGAGCCUUUGGUACACUGAGCGAUUGCUAAUAAGAGUUGUUACUAAACAACACAUACAACAUUCUCUUAUUAUACACGGUUAAACAAUACGAAAAUUCUAUAAGUUGUCCACUAGCUUUGGCAUUGUAUCCCAAUUAUUCAGUGCAUACCAUAUUUUCUAAAGAAUUUAAAAUAUAAGUUUAUUACGAUUUAAAAGGCUAUUUCUAAAUAAAAUACGAAAAAUAUAAGUAUGACAACUUUAAAAAUAAAUCAUCCCAAAUGAAGCAUAAAAUGAUUGUUCCAAAAUAUACAGUAAACUAAAAAUCUCUAACUCUUGAACCGCAAGAACAAAACGCCAUAACAAAAAUGUUGUAAUAAUGUAAAAUUGUAAAUAUAUAGAUCAGCAAUGACCCGUGUUAAUACUUUUUAUUCUUCAUAGGAUAUGUCAUAAGCAAAUCAUAUGGAAUUAUGCUUACAUUGACUUGAAGUAUUGUAUCUCUGGAAUUUUGGGAUCAAAUAAAAUUUGAGGACAUUCUAUAUGUUUGAAGCAAUCUAUAUAAGAAAUAGAUGUCCACAUAUCAUAACACUCCCAUUUGAAUCGAUUAGGACCAUCUCAGUAGUAAGACCACCUGCAAAAGAAUAUUAUUUCUAAAGUUGUAUGAUCUUCGCCUUGAUCUUCCACAUGGAUUGAAUGGUUCCAAGUUACACGCAAGGCUAAAAGCGGCCGUUGGAAGUCAAGGAGCAAUAUAUUUUUCUAGGUUGUUCAAUUUUCGGUAGUUGUAAUCACAAUGAACUUCGCAUAUGCUUCUUAAUUUCUUAUAUAGGGAUUUAAUGAAUAUAUUAUAUAUUUUAUGAGAAAGAUAUUAUGAGUGCCUAGCAAGUUUUCGAGAAAGAUAUUGCAAGUUUCUGUAUUACAGAAUAGUAUUUAAAACACAUUAACUUUGUGUUUUAAUGCGACGGUUGCUAUGAUAUUUAGUAAGGGAAAUAUGCGACCAACGUUAUAUUUUAAAACUAUGGUUUAUAUAAGGUGCUCUAGAAUUCUUUUAAAUAGGAUUUAGUAGGCAUACACAACUGCCACAUAAGAUGAGGUUUUUUUUUAAUUAAUACAAACUUAAGGUUCUUAUUUUUUAAGAGAUUCUCAAUUAAUAUAUAGGGAAAGUCAGGGUUAACGUAAACUUCCGUAUUCAGGUUAACAAAAUGCACAACUGCAUGUUUACAUAGUAAAUCCUACCUCACAUAACCAUACAAAACACGAAUACCUUGCAUUAACAGCCGCUCUUAUACGUUCAUUAUAAUAAAAUUGAUCACGUAUAAUUCUAUGUUUCUACUUUAUCAAAUAAAACCACACAUUAUAUGGUUUUUCCUUCAUCAACAAUAUAUGAAACUUUUAUUCUCUAUUCUAGACCACUACGACUAUACCAAACAAAACACUAGAGCCCACCUCUUAUACCAUUUUUAAACUAUAAUAACGUAUGCAUUUUUUAAUAUUAGAAAGCAAUUCUCUGUAAUUAAAGAAUAAUGCAAUAAAAAAACAAAAAAAUAUACACACAGAGCAAGAUUUAGUAAUAUACGUUCAUAAUAAAAAAAUUUAAAAGUGUGUUCCAAAAAAAAAAAAAAGAGAAAGUCUGUUCUUCAGUUGUCUACGAGAUGAUUUUUGCUUUUAGCUGCAAGCAAAUAAUGAAAGUAUGAUUCUGUACUCAGAAGUCAAAAGGCUGGACUUAUCCACUCUUCUUACAAUUUAAAUUGCAUCUGAAUAAGAUUUGUUGUUUUAGCUACAUCUUACAUCUCUGAAUAACUCUUCUAAAACUGUACGAUAUUUUUGUUUUAAAAGCCUUUCCAACCUUCUUGGUUGUGAAAUGUUUUAGAUCAUUUGGAGGAGUAAUAAAGUUUAUAUGUUAUCACAAAUCACAUAUAUAGAUUGAAUCAAAGCAACACAGGCAGAGAUAAACAUUGGCAUGCCAACGUAUGCACCACAAAAAGAACUAUUAAGUUAUCAUCAUAUCAAAAUCUAGGUGGCAUUAAGCACAGCCUAUAAUUAGACACGUCAGACAGGCUUCACAGUGUGGGCUUCGUCCACAGUCGAGCAUGUCACCGUGUGUUUGUGUUUUGCGUUUUGGUUCCGCGUGUAUUGUUGACUUAUGACAGGUUGUGAUUUUCUUGGAUAUUGAUUUAUGGAAUGGGCUGGGCUGGUUUACUAACUUUUAUGUUUGUUUAUGUACAAAACCAGUGGUCCAAUUAUAAAUAUAUACAACCAAAGCCUCUCUUCGUUAUCUUCCUCUUCCAUGUAGAGUAGGUUUCAGUCGGUUCAGUCUCCUCUGAGAAAUCAAAGUGACCCUUUCGGUUUCCAUGGAGCAGUGAAUCUUCUUCUACCUCUACAUCUCCCCUUCUUAACUCUUUGGAUCAUUAAUGCUUCAGAAUCCUAACAAUUCAGUUAUUCCUUCUUAUAUAACCUCAUCGUAAAAACUGAAACUUUACAUAUCAAAUCCAGUAAUCACCAUUACAGAUUUAGAGAAAUCUUCCAACCCUUUCUGUCAAGUGACAAUCUCACCAGAAGACGCCAAUUAAUUAAUUAAUCUGUUUGGUCUUCUUCAACCUAGAAAGACAAAGUCCUUCGUGGAUUAGAUCGGGACGGCUAUUGCAGCUUCGAUUGGCGGAAGAGCUAUCUGACUCUGAUCCAAAAAAUUCCGGAGGCGGAUCAUCAGAAUCAUCACUGCCUGUUACCCUUCCUCUUGAUUCAUACGCAAGCGCACAUGAAAACCCUAGGCAAACCCAUUAUCCAGGUUCCUCCUUGGCUUCUCUUUUUUCAUCACCUCUGUCUCUACUAUAUAAAUAUAAAUCUUAAUAUCAUGCUUUCAUUCAUUGUGUUUCGUCUAAUUGUUUGGAACUCAACGUAUCAAAAUACUCACUUUAAGAGUUACAAAAAAAUACUUACUUUUUAAAUUUAUUUUUGAACAGAGAACUUGGGAGAGGAUGGUGUCAACUUUUACGCUUUGGGCUGUGAGUCACAGACUGUAACGUUGGUAAUAUUUCUCAGCUCUCUACUCUUUCUGGUUCUGAACACAAGAAAGUUAUCUAAUUUAUGGAUCAAAGGUGUCCUUUUUUGUUAUCUUGUGAUUGUAAAGACUACAAGAUGAUCAUUUUUUUUUACUUAUUGUUAGUGGGCCAGAUAAAAAAGAGAAAAUGGAUGACGUGUUAGAGCUACACCAGUGUCGAAGAUCUGAAAAAAAGUUUCCAUGGCCACCGCUUCUGUCGUAUAUGACUCAGUGAACCUCUCCACUUAUCUGUUACACUUGGUAAACCUUCCACCCUAUUGAUUCAUCUGCUUGAAGAUGUUUCAUCAUCGUUGCUCACUGAAAGCAGCAGCAACAACUACCUUGAUUUAAUAAAGUGACAUAGCGGUUUGUGGAGGAAGCACUACAAGAGCACGGAGGAGAGAAGAUGAUAUUUCCAAAUGCAAGAAAGUGAUUCUGAAAAAAAAAAAG